UACGUAGGGUGCAAGCGUUAAUCGGAAUUACUGGGCGUAAAGCGUGCGCAGGCGGUCCGCUAAGACAGAUGUGAAAUCCCCGGGCUUAACCUGGGAACUGCAUUUGUGACUGGCGGGCUAGAGUAUGGCAGAGGGGGGUAGAAUUCCACGUGUAGCAGUGAAAUGCGUAGAGAUGUGGAGGAAUACCGAUGGCGAAGGCAGCCCCCUGGGCCAAUACUGACGCUCAUGCACGAAAGCGUGGGGAGCAAACAGGAUUAGAUACC
RNAcentral lists this ribosomal RNA (263 nucleotides) under uncultured bacterium. RNAcentral's name for it is "partial 16S ribosomal RNA". It matches the Rfam family "Bacterial small subunit ribosomal RNA", at positions 524 to 786 of the family's 1533-position model. The record is from RNAcentral.